This is a non-coding RNA of Sus scrofa (pig), 2011 nucleotides long. The record is from RefSeq and is a predicted model, not a curated record. NCBI's taxonomy places the organism in Eukaryota, Metazoa, Chordata, Mammalia, Artiodactyla, Suidae.
UCCUUAACCCACUGAGCAAGGCCAGGGAUCGAACCUGCAACCUCAGGGUUCCUAGUCAGGUUGUUUGUGCUGCACCAUGAUGGGAACUCCAGGCCCUUCUUUUCUAAUUUCAAAAUACAUUUGGAAUCCAACCUCUUCUUAGCGCCUGCGCUACUGUCCUGGGCCAGAGGAAGCCGCCUGGGGGAGGCACCUUCCCCCGUGGCCUGAAUUAUUUAAUAGGCUCCUCCUUGGUCUCCUGCCUGCCUCUGGCACCCCCAUCCCUGGCCCGUCAGCUGACAGCAGCCAGAGGAGGCCUGUUAACCUUAAGUCAGUUUGUGCCCUUCUGCUCAAAAUCGGGCAGAGUUCCUUCAUUUCCCUGCAAUAAAAGCUAAAGAUGUCACGAAGGCCCGAAUCUUAGAUCCUACCUCCCCUAUUUAGUCACUGCCUUAGCCUCCCUCCCCCCAGUCUCAGGCCCCUGCCUGGGACACUCCCCACCGCAAGGGCUUCCUCCUCCUCCUCCAGGUCUCUGCUCCCAAGUUCCUUAUUAGAGAGGCCUUCCUCCCAGACCACUUGAGUUGAAAAAAAGAAACUCAGCACCCUCUUUCCCAGCACCCUCCAUCCUCCCCAACCUGGCUUACUGUCCUCUUAGUAAUUGCCAUCCUCUAUCAUUCAAUUUAUUUUACUCAAUAAAUCGUGGAAUGGAGUGACCUCAAGCUGUGGGAACUCCUUGGAAAAUUCACUAGACUCAAGUUUGGAGGGCUUCUUGGGCAGAUCAGUGAACUCGGGUUGCAGGGGUUUCUUGGGGUGCUUGACUGCUACGUUUGGGGUAGGUUUUUUUUUAUUUUGGGAGGUACCUCUACUCCCCCUUCCCCCAGUGCCUGUGGAACACCACUGCCAAGAGGGCAGCAACUUGUCCCAUGCGUUGCGGUCCUCCCAGUGCCUGGCACACAGUAAAGAUGCUCAGGAACUCUUGAAAUAAAGAACAUUGAGGACACACAGAGACGGGCACAUACUCAGCCACGUCCAUUCAGACCAUCACGUUCUCAUGCAGACGCACACAGAGUAACCCUGAGAAGCCUGGAGGCAAAUGUGGGCACAGGACCUCACUGUCCUAGAUGCCGAGGACCAGCGGCAGGCCCCCUGGGCACAGGCGUGACCAUGGCUGGCACACCAAGUCAGCUCCAGAUACUGAGGUUGAAGAGGUGGCAGAUGACAACUCUGGUAGCUUGGAAGACGGAGGAGGUAAGAAGGGAAGCGGGAAGGGAUGGGGACCUGGUCCUUGGGUUCUGGCUCAUAGGAUGUUUAUGUUCCCUAGGAAAAGGAGGAGGAGGGAGAUGGUUCAAGAUGAGGGCCUUGUGGGCCAUGAGAACAGGCUCCUCAUCCAAAGAGCUGUGGGGAGCCAUUGAAGGGUACCAGGUAGGGGAGGGGCACAAAUGGAAGAGACCCCUGAUUCCAGGGGUGUUGCAGACUGGGGGAAGGGCAAGAGAGGUUGCCUCCUGUGCUCCAGGACUAGGCGAGGGUUGAGGCCUGGGCUAAGGGAUCGCAGGGCUGGAAGGGGGCAAGAUGCACAAGGUAUAACUACGUCUUGAAGGAUGACUGCCAACAAGAUGUCAGACUUCCAGACUCAGGAGGCUUUGACCCAUGGGGUUCUGGUGACAGCAGUAUGGUACUAGAUUUUGAACCCUGGCCCCAGCCUGACUUCUUAAGAAGGAAAGGAAGAAAAAAACCUAUUUGUCAGAAGGGUGUGCAGGAAGGGAGCCCAGGCUCUCCAGGGCUGGCCUUGACUCACCCUUCUCAGGGCUAGGGCAGGGGGAGAAGCGGAAGUGGGCAACCAGAGGGAGUCAGGGGAGGACAGCAAGAAGGAUGAUGAUGAGGCCUGAGCCCUGGGCUGCCAUGGAAUGUCCAGAUCUGGGGACCCUGCCACCUCCCUGAGAGUCAGCAUUGUCCUGAGGAUCUGGGAAGCUCCAUCUGGGCCAGCUUCCCAGCCUGUGCCCCCAACUCCUGGGACUUUUAAAAUAAAACCAGAAACCUC